Molecule: ribosomal RNA, 468 nt
Filed under: uncultured bacterium
Lineage: Bacteria
Description: partial 16S ribosomal RNA
Rfam family: Bacterial small subunit ribosomal RNA
Source: RNAcentral
GACGAACGCUGGCGGCGUGCUUAACACAUGCAAGUCGAACGGAAGGGCGCGACGUUUGUGUGGUGCUCGAUUGGCGAGCGGGUGAGAAACACGCGUGUAACCUGCCCUUAUCUGUGUGGUAACUCUACGAGACUCGGGCGCAUACCGGGUAGAAGCUCCUGAUGCACGGUGUUGGAAGGAAAGAUUCGGCGGUGGUGGAUGGAUUCGCGGCUUAUCCGCUUGUUGGUCGAGUAGUGGCUUACCAAGUGUAUGACGGGUAGCCCGCCUGAGAGGGUUAACGGGCUCCUGGGGACUGAGAUACGGCCCAGACUCCUACGGGAGGCAGCAGUGGGGAAUCUUGCACAGUGGGCGGAAGCCUGAUGCAGCAACGCCGCGUGCGGGAUAAUGGGCUUCGGGGGGUAAACCGCUUUCGCAUGUGACGAAGAGUGAGUGACGGUAAUGGGUAAAGAAGCACCGGCUAACUACGUG